Molecule: ribosomal RNA, 497 nt
Filed under: uncultured bacterium
Lineage: Bacteria
Description: partial 16S ribosomal RNA
Rfam family: Bacterial small subunit ribosomal RNA
Source: RNAcentral
GAUGAACGCUGGCGGCGUGCCUAAUACAUGCAAGUCGAGCGAACAGACGAGGAGCUUGCUCCUCUGACGUUAGCGGCGGACGGGUGAGUAACACGUGGAUAACCUACCUAUAAGACUGGGAUAACUUCGGGAAACCGGAGCUAAUACCGGAUAAUAUAUUGAACCGCAUGGUUCAAUAGUGAAAGACGGUUUUGCUGUCACUUAUAGAUGGAUCCGCGCCGCAUUAGCUAGUUGGUAAGGUAACGGCUUACCAAGGCAACGAUGCGUAGCCGACCUGAGAGGGUGAACGGCCACACUGGAACUGAGACACGGUCCAGACUCCUACGGGAGGCCGCAGUAGGGAAUCUUACGCAAUGGGCGAAAGCCGGACGGAGCAACGCCGCGUGAGGGAUGAAGGUCUUCGGAUCGUAAAACGCUGUUGUUAGGGAAGAACAAAUGUGUAAGUAACUAUGCACGUCUUGACGGUACCUAAUCAGAAAGCCACGGCUAACUACGUG